AGGACGAACGCUGGCGGCGUGCCUAAUACAUGCAAGUCGAACGAACUCUGGUAUUGAUUGGUGCUUGCAUCAUGAUUUACAUUUGAGUGAGUGGCGAACUGGUGAGUAACACGUGGGAAACCUGCCCAGAAGCGGGGGAUAACACCUGGAAACAGAUGCUAAUACCGCAUAACAACUUGGACCGCAUGGUCCGAGUUUGAAAAAUGGCUUCGGCUAUCACUUUUGGAUGGUCCCGCGGCGUAUUAGCUAGAUGGUGGGGUAACGGCUCACCAUGGCAAUGAUACGUAGCCGACCUGAGAGGGUAAUCGGCCACAUUGGGACUGAGACACGGCCCAAACUCCUACGGGAGGCAGCAGUAGGGAAUCUUCCACAAUGGACGAAAGUCUGAUGGAGCAACGCCGCGUGAGUGAAGAAGGGUUUCGGCUCGUAAAACUCUGUUGUUAAAGAAGAACAUAUCUGAGAGUAACUGUUCAGGUAUUGACGGUAUUUAACCAGAAAGCCACGGCUAACUACGUGCCAGCAGCCGCGGUAAUACGUAGGUGGCAAGCGUUGUCCGGAUUUAUUGGGCGUAAAGCGAGCGCAGGCGGUUUUUUAAGUCUGAUGUGAAAGCCUUCGGCUCAACCGAAGAAGUGCAUCGGGAACUGGGAAACUUGAGUGCAGAAGAGGACAGUGGAACUCCAUGUGUAGCGGUGAAAUGCGUAGAUAUAUGGAAGAACACCAGUGGCGAAGGCGGCUGUCUGGUCUGUAACUGACGCUGAGGCUCGAAAGUAUGGGUAGCAAACAGGAUUAGAUACCCUGGUAGUCCAUACCGUAAACGAUGAAUGCUAAGUGUUGGAGGGUUUCCGCCCUUCAGUGCUGCAGCUAACGCAUUAAGCAUUCCGCCUGGGGAGUACGGCCGCAAGGCUGAAACUCAAAGGAAUUGACGGGGGCCCGCACAAGCGGUGGAGCAUGUGGUUUAAUUCGAAGCUACGCGAAGAACCUUACCAGGUCUUGACAUACUAUGCAAAUCUAAGAGAUUAGACGUUCCCUUCGGGGACAUGGAUACAGGUGGUGCAUGGUUGUCGUCAGCUCGUGUCGUGAGAUGUUGGGUUAAGUCCCGCAACGAGCGCAACCCUUAUUAUCAGUUGCCAGCAUUAAGUUGGGCACUCUGGUGAGACUGCCGGUGACAAACCGGAGGAAGGUGGGGAUGACGUCAAAUCAUCAUGCCCCUUAUGACCUGGGCUACACACGUGCUACAAUGGAUGGUACAACGAGUUGCGAACUCGCGAGGGUAAGCUAAUCUCUUAAAGCCAUUCUCAGUUCGGAUUGUAGGCUGCAACUCGCCUACAUGAAGUUGGAAUCGCUAGUAAUCGCGGAUCAGCAUGCCGCGGUGAAUACGUUCCCGGGCCUUGUACACACCGCCCGUCACACCAUGAGAGUUUGUAACACCCAAAGUCGGUGGGGUAACCUUUUAGGAACCAGCCGCCUAAGGUGGGACAGAUGA
Molecule: ribosomal RNA, 1483 nt
Filed under: uncultured organism
Description: 16S ribosomal RNA
Rfam family: Bacterial small subunit ribosomal RNA
Source: RNAcentral